This 492-nucleotide ribosomal RNA is filed under the name uncultured bacterium. RNAcentral's name for it is "partial 16S ribosomal RNA". It matches the Rfam family "Bacterial small subunit ribosomal RNA", at positions 29 to 507 of the family's 1533-position model. The record is from RNAcentral.
AGUGAACGCUGGCGGUAGGCCUAACACAUGCAAGUCGAACGGCAGCACAGUAAGAGCUUGCUCUUACGGGUGGCGAGUGGCGGACGGGUGAGGAUUACAUCGGAAUCUACUUUUUCGUGGGGGAUAACGUAGGGAAACUUACGCUAAUACCGCAUACGACCUACGGGUGAAAGCAGGGGAUCUUCGGACCUUGCGCGAUUGAAUGAGCCGAUGUCGGAUUAGCUAGUUGGCGGGGUAAAGGCCCACCAAGGCGACGAUCCGUAGCUGGUCUGAGAGGAUGAUCAGCCACACUGGAACUGAGACACGGUCCGGACUCCUACGGGAGGCAGCAGUGGGGAAUAUUGGACAAUGGGCGCAAGCCUGAUCCAGCCAUACCGCGUGGGUGAAGAAGGCCUUCGGGUUGUAAAGCCCUUUUGUUGGGAAAGAAAAGCAGCAGGUUAAUACCCCGCUGUUCUGACGGUACCCAAAGAAUAAGCACCGGCUAACUUCGUG